This 67-nucleotide transfer RNA is filed under the name Caridina longshan. Its description in RNAcentral is "tRNA-Tyr". It matches the Rfam family "tRNA". From Rfam's summary of the family: Transfer RNA (tRNA) molecules are approximately 80 nucleotides in length. Their secondary structure includes four short double-helical elements and three loops (D, anti-codon, and T loops). Further hydrogen bonds mediate the characteristic L-shaped molecular structure. tRNAs have two regions of fundamental functional importance: the anti-codon, which is responsible for specific mRNA codon recognition, and the 3' end, to which the tRNAs corresponding amino acid is attached (by aminoacyl-tRNA synthetases). tRNAs cope with the degeneracy of the genetic code in two manners: having more than one tRNA (with a specific anti-codon) for a particular amino acid; and 'wobble' base-pairing, i.e. permitting non-standard base-pairing at the 3rd anti-codon position. The record is from RNAcentral. Lineage: Eukaryota; Metazoa; Arthropoda; Malacostraca; Decapoda; Atyidae.
GGUUGGAUGGCUGAGUAUAAAGGCGAUAAAUUGUAAAUUUAUAGACGAAAUAAAGUUUCUCUGACUA